UGGGGAAUAUUGGACAAUGGGCGAAAGCCUGAUCCAGCCAUGCCGCGUGUGUGAAGAAGGCCUUUUGGUUGUAAAGCACUUUAAGCGAGGAGGAGGCUACUUGGAUUAAUACUCUAGGAUAGUGGACGUUACUCGCAGAAUAAGCACCGGCUAACUCUGUGCCAGCAGCCGCGGUAAUACAGAUGGUGCGAGCGUUAAUCGGAUUUACUGGGAGUAAAGCGUGCGUAGGCGGCUUCUUAAGUCGGAUGUGAAAUCCCUGAGCUUAACUUAGGAAUUGCAUUCGAUACUGGGAAGCUAGAGUAUGGGAGAGGAUGGUAGAAUGCGAGGAGGAGCGGUGAAAUGCGAAGAGAUCUGGAGGAAGACCGAUGGCGAAGGCAGCCAUCUGGCCUAAUACUGACGCUGAGGUACGAAAGCAUGGGGAGCAAACAGG
Molecule: ribosomal RNA, 430 nt
Filed under: Acidobacteriota bacterium
Lineage: Bacteria; Pseudomonadati; Acidobacteriota
Description: Acidobacteria bacterium partial 16S ribosomal RNA
Rfam family: Bacterial small subunit ribosomal RNA
Source: RNAcentral